Molecule: ribosomal RNA, 496 nt
Filed under: uncultured bacterium
Lineage: Bacteria
Description: partial 16S ribosomal RNA
Rfam family: Bacterial small subunit ribosomal RNA
Source: RNAcentral
AUGAACGCUGGCGGCGUGCCUAAUACAUGCAAGUCGAGCGAACAGACGAGGAGCUUGCUCCUCUGACGUUAGCGGCGGACGGGUGAGUAACACGUGGAUAACCUACCUAUAAGACUGUGAUAACUUCGGGAAACCGGAGCUCAUACCGGAUAAUAUAUUGAACCGCAUGGUUCAAUAGUGAAAGACGGUUUUGCUGUCACUUAUAGAUGGAUCCGCGCCGCAUUAGCUAGUUGGUAAGGUAACGGCUUACCAAGGCGACGAUGCGUAGCCGACCUGAGAGGGUGAUCGGCCACACUGGAACUGAGACACGGUCCAGACUCCUACGGGAGGCAGCAGUAGGGAAUAUUCCGCAAUGGGCGAAAGCCUGACGGAGCAACGCCGCGUGAGUGAUGAAGGUCUUCGGAUCGUAAAACUCUGUUAUUAGGGAAGAACAAAUGUGUAAGUAACUAUGCACGUCUUGACGGUACCUAAUCAGAAAGCCACGGCUAACUACGUG